ACGUGAGGAACCUGCCUUUCAGUGGGGGACAACAGUUGGAAACGACUGCUAAUACCGCAUAAUGUAUUCUGACCGCAUGAUCGGAAUACCAAAGAUUUAUUGCUGAAAGAUGGCCUCGCGUCUGAUUAGAUAGUUGGUGAGGUAACGGCUCACCAAGUCGACGAUCAGUAGCCUGACUGAGAGGUUGAACGGCCACAUUGGGACUGAGAUACGGCCCAG
This 219-nucleotide ribosomal RNA is filed under the name uncultured Bacillota bacterium. RNAcentral's name for it is "uncultured Firmicutes bacterium partial 16S ribosomal RNA". It matches the Rfam family "Bacterial small subunit ribosomal RNA", at positions 115 to 334 of the family's 1533-position model. The record is from RNAcentral. Lineage: Bacteria; Bacillati; Bacillota.